This 208-nucleotide long non-coding RNA is filed under the name Lathyrus oleraceus (garden pea). RNAcentral describes it as "Pisum sativum (pea) long non-coding RNA (PSAT_LNC038676)". The record is from RNAcentral. Lineage: Eukaryota; Viridiplantae; Streptophyta; Magnoliopsida; Fabales; Fabaceae.
UUUACAAAAUAUUUCAUUCACUUGAACAACUCUAUAGUAAUUGUUUUCUCUUCUCCUUCCUCUUUUUAUUCAUUUUUUUAAGGAGUAUGUAUUGACAUGUAUUGAAAUAUUACAAGCAUAAUUCCUUUUUUUCUUCCUCUUAGCCUUCUAUUUUUUCAUUCCUUUUUUUUUCUUUUCUAUUUUCUUUUUCUAUUUUUUUUCUUUUUCU